Molecule: long non-coding RNA, 755 nt
Filed under: Homo sapiens (human)
Lineage: Eukaryota; Metazoa; Chordata; Mammalia; Primates; Hominidae
Description: non-protein coding LINC02405:19
Source: RNAcentral
ACUCCGGCUUGAGUGUUAAAUGGCCAGCAGGAAUUAUCCACUAGAGAAGCGGAAGGGAGAGAAUGGAAAUGGCCGCAUGCAGCUCCUCUCCCUCAGACAGCUCGGGGCUCAGCGGAAUGAGCACAGUCUGCAGGACAAGUGCGGAGGACUUCAGUCCCCUCUACUGUAUAUUGGCUUUAGGACUCAAGUUGUCCCUGAAAUAGAGGAAGGUGUUUUCUAGGGUAGUGGUAAUUAUCACAGUCAAAAAAGUAGGCGAGAGCACUUAGGAAAACUGUGCGGAGAUCGGCUGCUGAUGUGUAAAUACUGCUGAAGCUGCUUAUUCAAGAUUAGAAAACCUGAGACCCAGACGGGGGAAACUGCUUUCCAUGGUUAAUCGUCAACAACUGGCCAGGAUGGGACAGAAGCCCAUACAUAGCCUUCAUUCCAGGGCUCAGAACAAAAAGAAGGCAGUGGCCUGGGCUGCACCUGAGCUUGGCUUCACAUAGGAGGGAUUCUGGAACGCAGGAUCCUGACAACGACCUCAAGCCCCUGUAAAGCAACACAUUUUUUGGCAAGAAUCCCUGGGACAGAGAAAGAAUUUCUUCUCACUUAUUAUUGAGAAUGUUCUCAUGUCUUGCAAGGCUCACUGCCCAGUAGAAGCUGAAAAGAUUCAGUAUGAGUAAAAGAAGAGAUCUGAAAUUUGCAGCUUGUCAUAGAAAGGGCCCCACUGUGCAACUCCUCUCCCUGGAGUAUUGGUCCAUGCUCUUUCUCAAGCC